GAGGGGGGAAGAACAUAGGAGGAAGAGCAGCAUGGGUACACGGAGCAGAGGGGGGAAGAACAUAGGAGGAAGAAAACGCUAGGAGGAGGCACAGGGACAAAAUACAGAGCUUUCUUGACUUCUCAAACACAGCAGAAAGCCUUUUGGAGAAGUACGGUACUGAGCAGUACAGUACCUACACUGGCUAUGCAGACAGCUACCUAUGGGACGGCAAACAUCAGGACAAGACCCCAAGAGACACCUGGCAGAGGAGGUGCACAGAGAUCGUAGCGAUGGACGCCCUGAAGUUCAGGAACUUCCUCGAACAGUUUCACCCUGAGAAAAUGAACAGAGAACUGAAUAAGGCAUACUGUGGCUUUUCCCGCCCAGGGGAGAGGAGUCAGGAUCUCUCUGCGGUUGCUACAGGAAACUGGGGCUGUGGUGUGUUCGGUGGAGACGCUAGGUUUAAAGCUCUGCUCCAGAUUCUGGCAGCCUCUGAGGCAGGCCGAGACGUGGCCUAUUUCACCUUUGGUGACAGCGCCCUGAUGAAAGACGUCUACGACAUGCACUACUUUCUCACACAGAGACAUGUCAGCGUCGGGGCUCUGUACAGUUUGCUGGGUCAGUACUACAGCUCAAUGUGUCAGAGCUGCUUCACCCGCCGUCCUGACAUCAGCCUCUACUCCUUCAUCUACCAGGAGGCCAGCUCUGUCUCCCCCUAGACCAGAAACACACACGCAGGUCGGCUCCCCUAGAAGAUCGGAGACGCCACGUCACACAGGUCGGCUCCGCCUAGAAGACCGUAGAUGCCCCCCCCCCGGACACAAAACAAGCGCUGUGCCCCGCGAGAGAUUCCAGUGGAAGUUUGUCUUGUCAUUCUGCUACUGGUAGCUGAUACGCACAUGGAUAGAGAUUCGAUGUGUUGAGAUUUGUGAUUUGGAAUGGUAAAGCCAAAGGCUGUCAUCCAUCUUGUGAGUGUGUCAUGUUUCCUUGGUUUUACCCCCCAACAUAAAUCCAGACUAAAUGAAUCAGUUGUCAGAAAUUCAGUUGAUGGAAAGAAUGAAUAGAGCCGUUCUUAGAGGGUAUUUAAAAAAUUUUUUAAAAAACGUUUUAAUUUGAUCAUAGGGAAAUGAUCUUUAGUCUUUAGGCUGGUUACUCUGUUCUCCACUGGAGAGAAGCUGACUCUGUGUGGGGAUGAUCACUUAAAGUGUGUGCUGUGAUCAUUUAUUUUAUUUUUCAAAUAUUUCAGAUUACCAUGGCCCUGGCCAUGGUCCUCUAAGUGGAUAUAUUACCAUGGGCCUAGCCAUGGUCCUCUAAGUGGAUAUAUUACCAUGGGCCUAGCCAUGGUCCUCUAAGUGGAUAUAUUACCAUGGGCCUAGCCAUGGUCCUCUAAGUGGAUAUAUUACCAUGGGCCUAGCCAUGGUCCUCUAAGUGGAUAUAUUACCAUGGCCCUAGCCAUGGUCCUCUAAGUGGAUAUAUUACCAUGGCCCUAGCCAUGGGCCUCCAUUCAGUGGAUAUAUUACCAUGGCCUCCAUUCAGUGGAUAUAUUACCAUGGCCUCCAUUCAGUGGAUAUAUUAUCAUGGCCCUAGCCAUGGGCCUCCAUUCAGUGGAUAUAUUACCAUGGCCUCCAUUCAGUGGAUAUAUUACCAUGGCCCCCAUUCAGUGGAUAUAUUACCAUGGCCCUAGCCAUGGGCCUCCAUUGAGUGGAUAUAUUACCAUGGCCUCCAUUCAGUGGAUAUAUUACCAUGGCCUCCAUUCAGUGGACAUAUUACCAUGGCCUCCAUUCAGUGGAUAUAUUACCAUGGCCCCCAUUCAGUGGAUAUAUUACCAUGGCCCCCAUUCAGUGGACAUAUUACCAUGGCCCCCAUUCAGUGGAUAUAUUACCAUGGCCUCCAUUCAGUGGAUAUAUUACCAUGGCCUCCAUUCAGUGGAUAUAUUACCAUGGCAUCCAUUCAGUGGAUAUAUUACCAUGGCCCUAGCCAUGGGCCUCUAUUCAGUGGAUAUAUUACCAUGGCCUCCAUUCAGUGGAUAUAUUACCAUGGCCCUAGCCGUGGGCUUAAGUGGAUAUAUUAUUUGUUAUUUUUGUGCCACAUACAGGAAAUAAUGUGAACAAGUGUACUUAAUGACACCCUGUCCAAUAAUAUAAUUAGAUUUUCAACUCUAAGUAGUUGUCUGACUGUAGGAAAAGUGAUUUAUUAAGAUAGUGCUGUAUGCCUCAACAUCUUAAAACAUUGAAAAGUGAGAAAUUGGUUUUGAAUUGUUUUAUGUGAUUAUGGAUUUUUGGGGGGAGGGAUAAUUAAUUAAAAAUAUGUAACUCGUUUUAUA
Oncorhynchus tshawytscha (Chinook salmon) is the source of this 2305-nucleotide long non-coding RNA. The record is from Ensembl. Lineage: Eukaryota; Metazoa; Chordata; Actinopteri; Salmoniformes; Salmonidae.